RNAcentral lists this ribosomal RNA (470 nucleotides) under uncultured organism. RNAcentral describes it as "partial 16S ribosomal RNA". It matches the Rfam family "Bacterial small subunit ribosomal RNA", at positions 334 to 796 of the family's 1533-position model. The record is from RNAcentral.
CACUCCUGCGGGAGGCAGCAGUGGGGAAUUUUGGACAAUGGGCGAAAGCCUGAUCCAGCAAUGCCGCGUGAGUGAAGAAGGCCUUCGGGUUGUAAAGCUCUUUUGUCAGGGAAGAAACGGUGAAAGCUAAUAUCUUUUGCUAAUGACGGUACCUGAAGAAUAAGCACCGGCUAACUACGUGCCAGCAGCCGCGGUAAUACGUAGGGUGCAAGCGUUAAUCGGAAUUACUGGGCGUAAAGCGUGCGCAGGCGGUUUUGUAAGUCUGAUGUGAAAUCCCCGGGCUCAACCUGGGAAUUGCAUUGGAGACUGCAAGGCUAGAAUCUGGCAGAGGGGGGUAGAAUUCCACGUGUAGCAGUGAAAUGCGUAGAUAUGUGGAGGAACACCGAUGGCGAAGGCAGCCCCCUGGGUCAAGAUUGACGCUCAUGCACGAAAGCGUGGGGAGCAAACAGGAUUAGAUACCCGUGUAGUCC